CUGCAGCCAAUUAAGCCGACAUUGCUGUCCUCCCCAUAGUGCCUGGUGUGCAGUGGCUGCAAACAGCAGCUUCCUGGGUAGUGUAUGCAGCCUGUUGCUUGUAUAGGCUGCCCUAAGGGACAGCCCUUC
Molecule: non-coding RNA, 129 nt
Organism: Erinaceus europaeus (western European hedgehog)
Lineage: Eukaryota; Metazoa; Chordata; Mammalia; Eulipotyphla; Erinaceidae
Source: Rfam